This 441-nucleotide ribosomal RNA is filed under the name uncultured bacterium. RNAcentral's name for it is "partial 16S ribosomal RNA". It matches the Rfam family "Bacterial small subunit ribosomal RNA", at positions 338 to 795 of the family's 1533-position model. The record is from RNAcentral.
CCUACGGGUGGCAGCAGUGGGGGAUAUUGCACAAUGGGGGGAACCCUGAUGCAGCGACGCCGCGUGGGUGAAGGAGCGUUUCGGCGCGUAAAGCCCUAUCGGCAGGGAAGAAGGAGGACGGUACCAGACAAAGAAGCCUCGGCUAACUACGUGCCAGCAGCCGCGGUAAUACGUAGGGGGCAAGCGUGAUUCGGACUUACUGGGGGUAAAGGGGGCGCAGGUGGUAGGGCAAGCCAGGAGUGAAAGCACGGGGCGCAACCCCGGGACUGCUCUUGGAACUGGGCGGCUGGAGUGCUGGAGGGGCAGGCGGAAUUCCUGGUGUAGGGGUGAAAUGCGUAGAUAUCAGGAGGAACACCGGUGGCGAAGGCGGCCUGCUGGACUACGACUGACGUUGAGGCCCGAAAGCGUGGGGAGCAAACAGGAGUAGAUACCCUUGUAGUC